This is a non-coding RNA of Notechis scutatus (mainland tiger snake), 632 nucleotides long. Lineage: Eukaryota; Metazoa; Chordata; Lepidosauria; Squamata; Elapidae. The record is from RefSeq and is a predicted model, not a curated record.
CAGUAGCCUUCACCUAGAUAAGCAGAGGCUAAUACCAGAUAAACAAUCAAGCAGAAAACAACCAAGUAAAAAACUAUCAAGGAGAAAAAACCCCACCAACACAGGCAGAGCAAGCUACUGGGUAUAAACAGGUAACAAAUUCAACUUCACCAGCACUGAUGAUGAUACCGAGUCAGGUAUAACGGAAACAACAAAGCUCAGAGAACAAAAAGGGCUAUACAAUGUGUUGCCUGCAGAAACCUCUCCGUCUUGUCCAUAAUCUCAUUUUUCUCUGCAGGUACGCAACACAAGCCAGACUUUCUCCUUUACAGUGGAGCAGGAGACACCCGUCCAGGGUCUGAAGCCUGCCUUGGUCAAAGUCUAUGAUUAUUAUGAAAUUGGUGAAUUUGCAACAGCCAAGUACACUGCCCCCUGCAGUACAGAUGAUAUCAAGGAAGUCCACAUAUAAAGCAUAAGGAUUCAGCUCAUGUUUUCUGGAAUAGCACAUUAUCGGAAAGAAUGAAUCCCGUAGAAACUAAGGAGGAAUAUGAUUUUAUAUACAAACGUAUUAAAUGCUCAGUACUAAAAUGUUUUAAUAUUUUGAUUGUAACACGUUUUUUUCAACUGUAAGCCACCCAGUGUCAUUGACUGAA